This 503-nucleotide ribosomal RNA is filed under the name uncultured bacterium. Its description in RNAcentral is "bacterial SSU rRNA". It matches the Rfam family "Bacterial small subunit ribosomal RNA", at positions 29 to 526 of the family's 1533-position model. The record is from RNAcentral.
AUUGAACGCUGGCGGCAUGCCUUACACAUGCAAGUCGAACGGUAACGCGGGGGCAACCCUGGCGACGAGUGGCGAACGGGUGAGUAACGCAUCGGAACGUGUCCUUUUGUGGGGGAUAACCUGGCGAAAGUCAGGCUAAUACCGCAUGAGACCUGAGGGUGAAAGCGGGGGAUCGCAAGACCUCGCGCGAGAGGAGCGGCCGAUGUCCGAUUAGCUAGUAGGUGGGGUAAAGGCCCACCUAGGCGACGAUCGGUAGCGGGUCUGAGAGGACGGCCCGCCACACUGGGACUGAGACACGGCCCAGACUCCUACGGGAGGCAGCAGUGGGGAAUUUUGGACAAUGGGGGCAACCCUGAUCCAGCCAUGCCGCGUGUGUGAAGAAGGCCUUCGGGUUGUAAAGCACUUUCGGCGGGAACGAAAUCGCUCUGGCUAAUACCUGGGGCGGAUGACGGUACUCGCAGAAGAAGCACCGGCUAACUACGUGCCAGCCGCCGCCGUAACAC